Molecule: long non-coding RNA, 1298 nt
Organism: Triticum aestivum (bread wheat)
Lineage: Eukaryota; Viridiplantae; Streptophyta; Magnoliopsida; Poales; Poaceae
Exons: 2
Source: RefSeq, a predicted model, not a curated record
ACCUCCCGCCCCGCCUUCCACCCCGUGCCUUCGCACCGCCGCCCCGCCUCCAGUCCCGCGCCGCCGCCCCAACUCCUACCCCAUGCCUUUGCACUGCCGCCCCGCCUCCCGUCUCGCACCGCCGCCCCGCCUCCCACCCCAUGCCUUCGCCACUGCCGCCCCACCUCCCACCCCGCGCCGUCGCCCUGCCUCCCUUCCUCGCCGUCGCACCGUCUCCCCGCGUCGGCUACCUUCCCCGCUGCCCCACCACAUCCCACCGGCCGCCCAGAAUCGCCACGCUGCUGGCCGCCCCACGCCGUUGCGGAUCCAACCAGGCCCGAGGGAGGAGAUUAGCCGGCUCUCUUCCUCCUCUCCGGCGAGGCCUGGGCGUCCCCUCCUACGGCGCGGACCAGCCACCCCGGAUUCCAACCCUCGCCGCCACCACCUCCACUCUACACCGCGGGUGGAUCCAGGCUGCCACUGCCGGUGCCGCGCCCCUGGGUUCCCCACCGCGGGUGGAUCCGGGCCGCCACUGCCGGCGCCGUGCCCCUGUCUGAACUGCACAGCACGCAGUGCAGGCGACUGUGGCAUGCAGUGCAGCUCGCCCCGGCAUGCAGCUCGGCCCCCGCCCUAGCGUGCAGGCACCCUCACGUGCAACAUCGAUGGGCUGGAGGUCCGACAUCUUCCUGGCCUCCCCUCUCCCCUGGCCAUAUCCACCCGUUCUCGAGGCGUGACUCCGACGCCGACGAGCUGCAUCGCCCAUUCCCUGCUCACUGAUUUGGUUGCCUGUGGCUGUGUGUCAUGCAUCCCCGUGCCUCGAAUGACAAGAUGUGUGGCACCUGCGGGCGUCCAGUACGACCAACGUCGGCGUGCAGUGCGGCCAACGACAACAUGCAGUAGGGCAUACGACGACGUGUAGUUCGGUGACCCUCCCAUGCGCCACAACAACCUCGAGUAGCAGCGCGGCUGGGAGUGGGCUGCGUCACUUGCAGUUUGGCGCACCUGGACGAGCAGCUAGCUUAUUUGUGUUCUCGGGCAAUCUACGUCUCGGUGCAAUUAAGUUUCAGGUUGGCAACCCCAAUUCGUUUUGCCAGGCCAUUUGCAGUUCGUCGGCGGGCAGAGUUGUAGUGCCUGUGUGCCAUGUAGUAACCCCACGAGGGUUAUAUUGUAAUUUUUUGUCAGAGUUUGUUUCUGCAAAAUUGCGGUGAUCAUCUGCAGACGAGUUCAUCUAGGAGCAGUCAUAUGAACUCCCGUAGAGGUUCAUCUAGGAGAUGUACUUAUUAUAGUUUGUUUGAAAUUAUCAAGGACAAAAAAAAGAA